RNAcentral lists this ribosomal RNA (253 nucleotides) under uncultured bacterium. RNAcentral's name for it is "partial 16S ribosomal RNA". It matches the Rfam family "Archaeal small subunit ribosomal RNA", at positions 474 to 727 of the family's 1478-position model. The record is from RNAcentral.
UACCCGCAGCACAAGUGGUGGUCAUUAUUAUUGGGCCUAAAGCAUCCGUAGCCGGUCCUACAAGUCUUCCGUUAAAUCCACCUGCUUAACAGAUGGGCUGCGGAAGAUACUAUAGGGCUAGGAGGCGGGAGAGGCAAGCGGUACUCAGUGGGUAGGGGUAAAAUCCUCUGAUCCAUUGAAGACCACCAGUGGCGAAGGCGGCUUGCCAGAACGCGCUCGACGGUGAGGGAUGAAAGCUGGGGGAGCAAACCGG